RNAcentral lists this ribosomal RNA (755 nucleotides) under Oncaea mediterranea. RNAcentral's name for it is "eukaryotic LSU rRNA". It matches the Rfam family "Eukaryotic large subunit ribosomal RNA", at positions 1 to 631 of the family's 3401-position model. Lineage: Eukaryota; Metazoa; Arthropoda; Copepoda; Poecilostomatoida; Oncaeidae. The record is from RNAcentral.
ACGACUCAACUGGUUGGCAGCUGCCUCAUUCUCUUUUUUCAGAGAGAGGUACUUAUUUAUUUUCGACCUGAGAUUAGGCAAGACUACCCGCCGAAUUUAAGCAUAUUAAUAAGCGGAGGAAAAGAAAACAACUGUGAUUACCUUAGUAAUGGCGAAUGAAACGGUAAAAGCCCAGCACUGAACCACCGAUUAUCUCGGUCGCGUGGAAUGUAGUGUUUGGGAAAGCCUCAUAGCAGUGAAAUGUCCAGUCUAAGUCGACCUUGACUGGCGCCAUGGCCCGUAGAGGGUGAUAGGCCCGUACGACGGACGAUUUGCUGCUCUGGCUUUUCUCUAGAGUCGGGUUGCUUGGGAGUGCAGCCCAAAGUGCGUCGUAAACUCGACGUAAGGCUAAAUAUGACCCCGAGACCGAUAGCGAACAAGUACCGUGAGGGAAAGUUGAAAAGAACUUUGAAGAGAGAGUUCAAUAGUACGUGAAACUGUGUAGUGGUAAACGGAGGGGUUUCUCGAAGUUUGUAUCGGAGGUUCAGGUUGACGGUAGCUCAGCAGUAGUGUUCGAGUGUCGCAAGAUCUCUGCAUUGCUGUUUGUGUUAUUGGCGGCUGCACUUCUCCGGUACUUCACACGACGAACCGCUGGCACCAGACCGCAGACAUGGGUGAAGUUCGUUCCUUGUGUUCGAGCCCUGUGUUCUGGGCUUUGGAGCCGGCGGGGAUUUGAGCAGUCAUGUAUAGCAUGUGUCCAUGUUUGACACCGUCUG